Non-coding RNA from Bos taurus (domestic cattle), 72 nucleotides. The record is from Rfam. NCBI's taxonomy places the organism in Eukaryota, Metazoa, Chordata, Mammalia, Artiodactyla, Bovidae.
UCCCUGGUGGCUCAGAGGUUAAAGCGUCUGCCUGUAAUGCAGGAGAGCUGGGUUCAGUCCCUGGGUUGGGAA